This 497-nucleotide ribosomal RNA is filed under the name uncultured bacterium. RNAcentral's name for it is "partial 16S ribosomal RNA". It matches the Rfam family "Bacterial small subunit ribosomal RNA", at positions 28 to 507 of the family's 1533-position model. The record is from RNAcentral.
GAUGAACGCUGGCGGCGUGCCUAAUACAUGCGAGUCGAGCGAACGGACGAGAAGCUCGCUUUUCUGAUGUUAGCGGCGGACGGGUGAGUAACACGUGGAUAACCUACCUAUAAGACUGGGAUAACUUCGGGAAACCGGAGCUAAUACCGGAUAAUAUUUUGAACCGCAUGGUUCAAAAGUGAAAGACGGUCUUGCUGUCACUUAUAGAUGGAUCCGCGCUGCAUUAGCUAGUUGGUAAGGUAACGGCUUACCAAGGCAACGAUGCAUAGCCGACCUGAGAGGGUGAUCGGCCACACUGGAACUGAGACACGGUCCAGACUCCUACGGGAGGCAGCAGUAGGGAAUCUUACGCAAUGGGCGAAAGCCUGACGGAGCAACGCCGCGGGAGUGAUGAAGGUCUUCGGAUCGUAAAACUCUGUUAUUAGGGAAGAACAUAUGUGUAAGUAACUGUGCACAUCUUGACGGUACCUAAUCAGAAAGCCACGGCUAACUACGUG